GAGGCUGUCACAAAAUACAUGAGAUAGAUUACAGCUUGUCUUUUGAGCAUACGGUUAAACCAUCCUAACUCUACCAAGGACGUUACAAUAUUCUAGGACUCUAUCUCUCGGAGCUGGAUAGACUCGUGCACCUUAUCCUUGCCUUGCGUCAUACCUCAACCAGGUUGCCGUGCGUUAGCUUGAGUAGUCCUGUACCAACACGUUUUGCUUAACAGCCCCUCUCAAUCUUAACCCGGUUUCUUAACCAUGUUAAGAUUGUGUCUGAACAUCUUAAAUUUCUGUGUAGCAAGUGCUUUUGUAAAACCAUCUGCUAGUUGAUCUUCUGAGGGUAUAAACCGAAUCUCCAACUGUUUCUUUGUAACCCUUUCUCACACAAAGUGAAAAUCAAUCUCAAUAUGCUUAGCUCUUGCAUGGAACACUGGAUUUGCUGAGAGAUAUGUUGCUCCAAGGUUAUCACACCAUAGAUGAGGAAUUUGAUAUUUUACUCCCAAUUCUCUUAGCAACGUCUCUACCCAAAUUAAUUCAGCAGUAGCAUUAGCAAGAGAUUUGUACUCAGCUUCUGUACUAGAUCUUGACACUGUAGGCUGUUUCCUGGCACUCCAAGAAAUCAGGUUCGGCCCAAAAAAGACAGCAAACCCUCCUGUCGACCGACGAUCAUCAACGCAUCCUGCCCAGUCUGCAUCAGAGAAUGCACUGACCAUAACUGAGUCUGAUGCUUUAAUACUCAACCCCAUACUGAUCGUUCCUUUAACAUAUCUUAAGAUCCUCUUUGCUGCACUCCAAUGAGUUGUUGUUGGCGCAUGCAGGAACUAACAAACUUUGUUUAUAGCAAAUGCUAUAUCUGGCCGAGUCAGAGUCAAAUAUUGCAACGCCCCUACUAUGCUUCGGUACCGAGUUGAGUCACCCGGCAACAGAAGUUCUCCAUCUUCCCUUGACAUCCUUUCAGCUUAGGACAAAGGAGUUGGUGAUUCUUUGCAAUUCAACAUACCAACUCUCGUCAAAAUAUCUCUUGCAUAUUUUUCUUGACACAAUUGAAUACCUCCUUGCAUCGGCUGAACUUCUAUACCAAGAAAAUAGUUUAGACUUCCGAGAUCUUUAAGGGCAAACUCCUCUUUCAAAUCCUUUAGUAACGCUGCCACAGCCUCAGACGAUGAGCUGGUUACAAUGAUAUCGUCCACAUAUAUAAGCAUGAAGAUUGUGACACCUCCUUUUGAGUAGAUAAAUAGCGAAGUAUCUGAUUUUGAAGCCUUAAAGCCAAGAUCACACAAUUUUGAACUGAGCCGAGCAUACCAGGCUCGAGGAGCUUGUUUCAAGCCAUAUAACGCCUUGUCUAGUCUGCACACAAAAUCAGGACACUUUGCAUCCUCAAAACCUGGCGGCUGUCUCAUAUACACCUCUUCUUCAAGAAUGCCAUGUAAGAACGCAUUCUGAACGUCCAACUGUCGUAGACACCAUCCUCUUGCAACAGCUAUAGAUAGAACCAAACGAACAGUAGCAAUUUUUACGACAGGACUGAAAGUAUCCUCAUAAUCAAUCCCAUACCUUUGCUUAAAUCCCUUCGCGACUAGACGAGCCUUGUAUCUAUCAAUGCUUCCAUCAGAUUUCCUUUUCACCUUGUAGACCCAUUUGCAAUCAAUAAGAUUUACACCUGGCUUAGGUGAAACUAAAUGCCACGUCUUAUUUCGAUGCAACGCAUCAAUUUCCUCCUUCAUAGCUUGAGUCCAACGUGAAUCACCAAGUGCCUCAGCCAAGGAGUCAGGUUCUCCUGUGGAGCAGAAACCCGUAUAGCGAAUUGUGCCAUCCGUAUAUGUCUUUGGUUUAAAAAUACCAUGCUAGGACCUCGUCAUCACACGUUGCUGCUGCUGUGCACCGGGAACCGCAGAAGAUCUGGCCUGGUCAGCUACCGCAGAGUUCGUAGAACAUCCGUCCGAGCUUCCCCCUGUUGCUGGCGCGCUGUCCGGGGUGGAUCCGCUCGACGCCAAUUGCUGGCUACCAGCGCUCUCGCCAAACAGAGGCGAGGCAGGAGACGCGCCUGGCGUGUACGGUGGAGAAUCGGCCUGAGAGUCUGAAGCGGCCGGAAACGGAUAUGAGUGCAUCUGAGUUUCUGUGCCACAUUGUCUGGCAGCUGGAAUUUGCAAGCUUACGCCUGGAAACAAGCCUAACGCAUCUGUUUCAUCCCUGCGUGCUUCCUGUGCAUCAUCAACACUAGAAAAAUUGUUAUGAGGGUUAGAUAAUACCAAAUCAUUACUAUUUGCUCCCCCAAAAUUAGGACGAAGGUGUGAAGGAAGGAGUAGGAUCUCUUGGUGAAGUCUCGCCUCGGCAUUAUCAUGGAGAGCUUCAAAAGGAAAUACUUCUUCAUCGAAUACGACAUUUCGAGAAAUAUACACUCGCCCUGUCGAAAUAUCUAGGCACUUGUAACCUUUGUGGCGUGAACUAUAACCAAGAAAAGAACAUCUGACAGAGCGGAAAGCGAGCUUUUUAGCAUUAAAAGGUCUAAGAUUCGGCCAGCAGGCACACCCGAAUACUCGAAGAAAGGAAUAGUUGGGUUUUUCAUGACACAUUAGCUCAAGAGGGGAUUGAUAAUUGGUGACCUUGCUGGGGAGGCGGUUGAUGAGAUAGGUGGCAGUGAGGAAAGCCUCAUCCCAAAACUUCAGAGGCAUGGAAGCUUUAGCAAGAAGAGCUAACCCAACUUCUACUAUAUGACGAUGUUUGCUUUCAGCGGCUCCAUUCUGUUGAUGUGCAUGAGGACAAGAAACACGAUGAGUUAUCCCAGUCUUUUGAAAGAAGGAAUUUAGCUUUUCAUACUCACCUCCCCAGUCUGUUUGCAUAGAAAGAAUUUUCUUAUCAAAUUGUCUCUCAACUAGUCUUUGGAAAUCCAGAAAUACAUCGAACACAUCUGAUUUGUUUUUAAGAAGAUAAAUCCAGGUGUAGCGACUGAAAUCAUCAAUAAAACUGACAUAGUAGGUAAACCUCCCAACAGAUGUGGGCGCCGGCCCCCACACAUCAGAGUGGAUCAAAGCAAGAGGAGCAGAAGCUGAAUUUUCAGACAUAGAAUAAGGUAACUGAUGACUUUUAGCUCUUUGACAUGAAUCACACACUGACUCGAUAGUAUUAUUGCUAACAAAAGGUAGAUUAUGAGCUCUAAGAACACGAGAAACUAUAGGAAAAGCAGGAUGUCCUAGACGACUAUGCCACCGUUCUGUCGUCAGUCUGCUCACGGCUAGGACUUCUUUAUUGGGGAUGCCACCUGACUUGUAUGGCACCAAAGGAUAGAGACCCCCUUCACAUCUUCCUCGAUGAAGAAUUUUCCUCGUUGCUCGAUCCUUGAUAAGGAAAAAGUUGGGAUGAAAUUCAAAAAGAACAUUGUUGUCAAGUGCAAGGCGAUGAAUGGAAGCAAGGUUUUUAUGUGAGCUUGGAACAUGUAGAAUAUUUCUUAAGAAAAGAUCGCGGAAAGGGGUUUGCAAAAUAGAAUGACCGAUAUUAUUAAUCCUCAUACCUUGGCCGCUUGCCGAAUAUACUUGAUCUCGACCGCCGUAUUUUUCUUGCAUAGUUAACUUCUCCAGAUUCGAGGUAAUGUGAUCUGAGGCUCCACUAUCAGCAUACCAGUUUGUAUCAAUCCCAUAGGCUGCAGCAGGACCGGAGUUGGACGUCUUGUUGCUGUUUGCUUGAUUAUCAUCAUCAUACCUGUACCAGCACUCCCUUGCUGUAUGAUUUGGCCGGUCACAUAUCUGGCACUUUGGCUUGUUGUUUCCCUGGCCCUGGCCGCCACUCCUGAAUGCUUGGCGACUAUCAUCAGCACCAUAAUUUCUGCCGCCUCGACUUGCUCCACGGCCACGGCCAAAAUUCCCUCGGCCACGUGGGUUGUAAUUACCCCCACGGCCUCGCGAUGCAGCAUUUGCAGACGAGCUGUACUGACCACCAGAAUUAUUACGCAACAUCUCCAGCCUUGUUUCAUACGCCAUCACCUGAGCAUACAACUCGCUCGAGGGAAUUGGAUCAGUACGGCCCAUGACAGAAGUAACAAUGGGAUUAUACUCACUAUCCAAACCAGCAAGGAUGAAGGAUAUCAUCUCGUCAUCUUCGACUUUUCUACCAGCACCGGCGAGCUCGUCGGCGAUCGCUUUCAUCUUGUUGAAGUAAACUGAAGUCGUCAUACUUCCCUUCUUGAGAGUUGACAACUGCAUUCGUAGAUGCGUUACUCUUGCUCUGGAUUGGGCGGAGAACAUGUUCUCCAGUGCCGCCCAAACUUUUGCAGAUGAGGAGAGAGUUGCUACCUGUCCAAGCACAUCUUUUGUGACUGAAUUGAACAGAAAAGCAAGGAUCUGCUGGUCUUGCGCCAGCCACGAGGAGUACGCCGGAUUGCUAACAAUUUCCUUGGACUUGUCUUCCUUGACGAUCUCCAGAAACUCAGAUGGGGCUUUGACGGAUCCCUCCAGAAUUCCGAUCAGCUGCGCCCCCCUGAUAGGUGGGAGAACUUGCGCCUUCCACAAGACGUAAUUAUCUCUAGUAAGCUUCUCGGUGACUUGGGGGCCAAGUGGCGCCAAUGCUGUCGCCGAGGAGGAGGAUGUCGCCAUGACAGUCGACGCUUCUUAGAUGAAGAUGGCUCUGAUUACCAUGAAAAAUAUGUAGAACAAUUUGGUAAACGUGGUUAGCAAACUCGCAUCCCACGAUUCCGUGUUUAUAUAGUGCUGGAGGCUGUCACAAAAUACAUGAGAUAGAUUACAGCUUGUCUUUUGAGCAUACGGUUAAACCAUCCUAACUCUACCAAGGACGUUACAAUAUUCUAGGACUCUAUCUCUCGGAGCUGGAUAGACUCGUGCACCUUAUCCUUGCCUUGCGUCAUACCUCAACCAGGUUGCCGUGCGUUACGCUUGAGUAGUCCUGUACCAACACGUUUUGCUUAACAG
This 4907-nucleotide long non-coding RNA is filed under the name Setaria italica (foxtail millet). RNAcentral's name for it is "long non-coding RNA (SITA_LNC002819)". The record is from RNAcentral. Lineage: Eukaryota; Viridiplantae; Streptophyta; Magnoliopsida; Poales; Poaceae.